CCUACGGGUGGCUGCAGUGAGGAAUAUUGGUCAAUGGGCGCGAGCCUGAACCAGCCAAGUCGCGUGAAGGAUGACUGCCCUACGGGUUGUAAACUUCUUUUAUAAAGGACUAAAGUGAGGCACGUGUGCCUUUUUGUAUGUAUUUUAUGAAUAAGGAUCGGCUAACUCCGUGCCAGCAGCCGCGGUAAUACGGAGGAUCCGAGCGUUAUCCGGAUUUAUUGGGUUUAAAGGGAGCGUAGGUGGGUUGUUAAGUCAGUUGUGAAAGUUUGCGGCUAAACCGUAAAAUUGCAAUUGAUACUGGCAGCCUUGAGUACAGUUGAGGUAGGCGGAAUGCGUGGUGUAGCGGUGAAAUGCAUAGAUAUCACGAAGAACUCCGAUUGCGAAGGCAGCCUACUAACCUGCCACUGACAUUGAUGCUCGAAAGUGUGGGUAUCAAACAGGAUUAGAUACCCGAGUAGUC
This 460-nucleotide ribosomal RNA is filed under the name uncultured bacterium. RNAcentral describes it as "partial 16S ribosomal RNA". It matches the Rfam family "Bacterial small subunit ribosomal RNA", at positions 338 to 795 of the family's 1533-position model. The record is from RNAcentral.